Molecule: non-coding RNA, 82 nt
Organism: Roridomyces roridus
Lineage: Eukaryota; Fungi; Basidiomycota; Agaricomycetes; Agaricales; Mycenaceae
Source: the annotation of a GenBank genome assembly
GGCGAUGUGGUGUAGUGGUAACAGGACAGGCAUUCGUAUUUUACAAAGCCAGAGACCCUGGUUCGAUUCCGGGCAUCUGCCC